UACAGGUGUGAUACAAGAAGUAGAUUAUUAUCCUCCACUGUGGACUCAGUAGCAGGGAGAUGAAGAGGAACAUGACUGAGAGA
Small nucleolar RNA from Cervus hanglu yarkandensis (Yarkand deer), 83 nucleotides. Lineage: Eukaryota; Metazoa; Chordata; Mammalia; Artiodactyla; Cervidae. The record is from Ensembl.